AUUGAACGCUGGCGGCAGGCCUAACACAUGCAAGUCGAGCGCGAAAGGCUUUCGGGCUGAGUAGAGCGGCGGACGGGUGAGUAACGCGUAGGAAUCUACCUGGUAGUGGGGGACAACUUGGGGAAACUCAAGCUAAUACCGCAUACGCCCUAUGGGGGAAAGUGGGGGACCUUCGGGCCGUCACGCUAUCAGAUGAGCCUGCGUAGGAUUAGCUAGUUGGUGAGGUAAAGGCUCACCAAGGCGACGAUCCUUAGCUGGUCUGAGAGGAUGAUCAGCCACACUGGGACUGAGACACGGCCCAGACUCCUACGGGAGGCAGCAGUGGGGAAUAUUGCGCAAUGGGGGCAACCCUGACGCAGCCAUGCCGCGUGUGUGAAGAAGGCCUCGG
RNAcentral lists this ribosomal RNA (388 nucleotides) under uncultured bacterium. RNAcentral describes it as "bacterial SSU rRNA". It matches the Rfam family "Bacterial small subunit ribosomal RNA", at positions 29 to 420 of the family's 1533-position model. The record is from RNAcentral.